Long non-coding RNA from Mustela putorius furo (domestic ferret), 2745 nucleotides. Lineage: Eukaryota; Metazoa; Chordata; Mammalia; Carnivora; Mustelidae. The record is from Ensembl.
CCCACAGGGAGGGAAAGUGCUGAGUCACUCUGGCGGGGCGCGAUGGCUCGGGGCGGGGCUCGGACCAGAACCCCCUCCUCUCUCCUCCUCUUGCACCCCCGGCCCUCUCUGACUCUCGCGAGAGCCCUACAGGCUAUAAAGGCAGCGCCCCGCGCACGUCUCACGCGUCUUCUUCCUGCCUUGUCUUCGGAGCUUUUGUUCGUAGAGCGGCCAAUAGCAAGAUGUCUUCAGGAAAUGCCAAAAUUGGGCAUCCUGCCCCCAACUUCAAAGCCACGGCUGUUAUGCCAGAUGGCCAGUUCAAAGACCUCAGCCUAUCUGACUACAAAGGUAAGAGUAAUAACCGUAGGUUAGUAAAAAUGGAAUUUUUACAAUCUAGGAUGGCUCAUUAGAUUCUGUAUCUCAGUUAGACUUGAUUGUAAAAUGAUUUAUAUAUCCUACGUAGGUCACAGUCUUAGGGUAGGAGCCUGUGCCUUCCUGAUGAAGUAGUGAUUACCAACUGUGGUCACUGAUAGAUACUCUAGAGUCAGACUGCUUAUGGAAAAAGCCCAUACUUCAUUAUGCCUGGACAUACAAUCUUAAUUUAUUUCUUAGAACUUCUCAAUUAUAUUACUGUUCUGGGGUAUUCUUGUUGUGUCAUUGAAAGCUCAAGCCUUUGGAGCAUAAAGUGUUCAAGUUUAUGAAACCUCUAUGUCUGAGCUGCUGUAUCAUUAGGCAGAGGCUUAGGCACAUUCCCUUGACACUUAGCCCCAGGAGAAGAGUUGAUGUUGCAUUUGGGACAGUUCUCUUUCCUGUUAAAGUUUAAUGCAGACACUUGGUCAGUUCUGAUGGAGGUAUUCCUUUGUUUUUGCAGUCCUGGAACAGCAGGGGUAUUUUGGGGUAGUUGGUAUAUGGAGAUUCCUUGAAAUGCAAACCUGAAUCUCGGGUGUAAAGUAUACCUUUUUUACUGGUGUAGUAAUUAGUUCCUGGACUCAGCUUUUGGGUAGAACAUGUGACUAAGGUUUCCUAACACAUCACACUUGUUUGGAAUGAGAAGCAGUUAAGAGGGGCCCUAUGGAGGGAAGCUAAUGGCAAACAAGGUAGCACCACAGGGAGGUGACCCUGGCCCAAGGGUAAAGGCACGAGGUUUAGAAGGAGCUGUUCUUUGUCCUCUAGGGCUUGACCUGCUGAGGCUUCAUGGUGCUUGUUAGGUAAAGCCCUGGAGAGGUUUAGAUGAGUGAGUUGCUAGUGAUUCUGGUUUUCAGAGUAAAUGUCAAAAGGAGCAGCUUAUUCUGACUUGCUGCCUGGAAACCAGUGAAUAUUUGGAACUCCUUCAAAAUACUCAGCCUAUUAGUUGUGGUGAGUGGCUGCUUGGCUGGUUGAAGAUCUACUUCCACUGGUAAUCUGAGUAACUUCAGCAAAAUUUAAACUAGAGAUCCUUUUAUACCUUACUAGGACUUUGGGAACUUUGCCUCAAGAAAUUUUUCUUUUCCAGUUAGGCUUGUUAGGAACAGGUUUAUGGUGAUUUAUUUAUUUAUUUAUUAAAAGAUUUUAUUUAUUUUUAUGACAGAGACAGAUCACAAGUAGGCAGAGAGGCAGGCAGAGAGAGAGGGAAGCAGGCUCCCCGUUGAGGAGAGAGCCCGAUGUGGGACUCAAUCCCAGGACCCUGAGAUCAUGACCCAAGCCGAAGGCAGCGGCUUAACCCACUGAGCCAUCCAGGUGCCCCGGUUUAUGGUGAUUUAGAUGAUGACUUAAACCUUGUGUCCACAGUUCCUGUGGUUCAUUGUGGAAGAAGUGCUAAAAGCCCCGGUUUCUUCUUUUUUGGUCUGAAUGACUUGCAGCACAGACUUAAAGCAAUUGAGCUCUUUCUGAUUACUAGUAGGUAAUCUCAUCCUAGGUUUUGGCUUUCCUUUAUUGGAGAACUUGGUGUUUACUAAUUUUAACUAUCUAGAGAUAAAAAUCAUACUGAACAGUGUUCAUCUUACAAUUGACAGCUAAUGGGGAGGCAGGAAAAUAAAGCUUAAAACAUGCAGGUUUUCCUACCACAAGAAGUUCCAGAAUUAGCUGCUAGGAAACCUUUGAGUUGCGUCUAGGCAUUUGGCAGUUUGCCUACCAUCGACUGCCUUCGGCUCAGGUCAUGAUCCUGGAGUCCUGGGAUCGAGUCCCGCAUUGGGCUCCCGGCUCCACGGGGAGUCUGCUUCUCUCUCUGAACUUCUCCUCGCUCGUGCUCUCUCUCACUGUCUCUCAAAUAAAUAAAUAAAAUAAAAAAAGAUUUUAUUUAUUUGAAAAAGAGAGGGAGAUAGAGCAAAAAUAGGAGGAGAGGGAGAGAGACUCUCCACUGAGGAGGGAGCCCGAUUUGGGAUAGAUUCAGGACCUUGGGAUCAUGAUCUGAGCCGAAGGCAGAAACUUAACUUACUGAGUCCAACCCAGGCAACCGUGGUCUUGAGUUUUGUUUUUGUGUUUUUUUUAAGAUCUUAAGUUUUUAAUUUUUAAAAAAUAUUUUAUUAUUUGACAGAGAUUACAAGUAGACGGAAUAGCAAGCAGAGAGAAGGGGGGAAGCAGGCUCCCCGCUGAGCAGCGGGCCGGAUCCCAGGACCCCGAGACCAUGACCUGACCUGAAGGCAGAGGCCCAACCCACUGAGCUACUUACGCGCCCCUUAACUUUUUAACUUCUUAUUAUUUAUUUAUUUAUUUAUUUAUUUUUAAAUUUUAUUUAUUUAUCAGAGGGGGGGGGUAGAGAGCGAGCACAGGCAGACAGAAUGGCAGGCN